UUGUGGAGGAGGACGCCGAAGGUGGGGCUAAUGACUGGGGUGAAGUCGUAACAAGGUAGCCGUACCGGAAGGUGCGGCUGGAUCACCUCCUAACAGGGAGACAACAAAAUGUUUAAUAUUAUUAUUUUGUCACCUUAGGUCGAUCGGUAUCUCACGUUUUUAAUUUAUUAAGAAUUUCAUUUCCUAAGUUUUUCUAGGUCACACCUAUUAUUUUUCCUGGGCCAUUAGCUCAGGUGGUUAGAGCGCACCCCUGAUAAGGGUGAGGUCCCUGGUUCAAGUCCAGGAUGGCCCAUAUCUCUAUGUUGGGGGUAUAGCUCAGUUGGUAGAGCGCCUGCUUUGCAAGCAGGAUGUCAGCGGUUCGAGUCCGCUUACCUCCACUGAUCACCACCUCUUCCAUAAUCGGUAGAAAGGAAAUUUUUUGAGUUGUGAUCAAAUUCUGAAAGAAUCUAGCUUCCUAAUGAAAUCAUUAAGAUGCUGGACUCAUUGAAUUAAUUUCAUUGUUUUCAGAGAACCUUGACAACUGCAUAGAUUAUUUUUAAAGACAAUAAGCAUCUUUAAUGAUGCAGAUUUAUUAUUUGUGCAAAUGCAUUAAUAACAAUUCUAUUAAGCUGAUGCUUCAAUAUUUGAAGUUAUUGGUCAAGCUACAA
RNAcentral lists this unclassified non-coding RNA (647 nucleotides) under uncultured Prochlorococcus sp. RNAcentral's name for it is "partial 16S-23S ribosomal RNA intergenic spacer; may also contain 16S ribosomal RNA and 23S ribosomal RNA". The stretch from base 305 to 377 matches the Rfam family "tRNA". Lineage: Bacteria; Bacillati; Cyanobacteriota; Cyanophyceae; Synechococcales; Prochlorococcaceae. The record is from RNAcentral.